Molecule: ribosomal RNA, 254 nt
Filed under: uncultured bacterium
Lineage: Bacteria
Description: partial 16S ribosomal RNA
Rfam family: Bacterial small subunit ribosomal RNA
Source: RNAcentral
UACGGGGGGAGCAAGCGUUGUUCGGAUUUACUGGGCGUAAAGGGCGCGUAGGCGGUCAGCACAAGUCAGUUGUGAAAUCUCCGGGCUUAACUCGGAAAGGUCAACUGAUACUGUGCGACUAGAGUGCGGAAGGGGCAACUGGAAUUCUCGGUGUAGCGGUGAAAUGCGUAGAUAUCAGGAGGAACACCGGUGGCGAAGGCGGCUCUCUGGACCUGUCCUGACGCUCAGGCGCGAAAGCUAGGGGAGCGAACAGG